CGGGUGGACAAUGUAUUUUGAAUGACUGUGAUGGUGACACAAACGCACACACACAGGUGGGUCUGGUUAGUUUUGCUCACACUUCUCUUUAAAAUGUUUAUUUAUUAUCCUAAUGUGUCUGCUAUUUAUCCUGUGGUUCCUCCAGGCUGAGAAAACCAGGCAUUCUUCUGUUGGUUCAUGUGCUUCUUCCUACAUCCACGGGCCACAAGAAGAAUCCAAAACGGCUCAUGUCAAACUGUGGACCAUGUUUUCAGAUAUGUGCAGAUAUAUGCAAGCCAGUGUUGAAGCCUUCCUCAUUGCCGUGGAACCAGGACAGCCCUUCCUCCUGCAUGUUGGUGAAAACAAGAGCAGCACCAAAGACACUUCACCAUCAGUGAUCACAAGAUCAUCCAAGGACUUGGUUUAUUACAGUCCCUGUGGCAAGCAGUUUUCUGCAUGGUCAGCAUUGAAGGCCAUAUUGUCUUUGAGAGGGUCCGCCAACAUUCCAGACAGGAC
Molecule: long non-coding RNA, 495 nt
Organism: Poecilia latipinna (sailfin molly)
Lineage: Eukaryota; Metazoa; Chordata; Actinopteri; Cyprinodontiformes; Poeciliidae
Exons: 3
Source: RefSeq, a predicted model, not a curated record